UACGGAAUUCCUUGCGUAGGAGAAAAACAAUAACUUCCAGUUGAACAAGAGCUAAAAGAAGGGAAGAUGUGACGGCAGCUCCAUUGAACAAUUUCUCUAAGUACAGACAGGCACCGCUUUCCACCCUCUGGUCACGUUCCACCUCCCAUUCUCAGGAAUUCUCUGGUAGGUGCACCUUGUUCAGAUAAGAACUGCACAGCAUUUCUUCGUGGGCCCCUGCAAGCCAUCCUUUGCAAUGGCACAGCCUCUAAACUUGGAGUUUUGCGGCCGUGGGUGGACCCUAAAGCCAAUAAGAAGAGGAGAAGAUGCAGAGAGAUAGAGAGAAGACCACAUGGAGAUGGAGGCAGAGAUUGGAGUUAUGCUUCUACAAGCAAAGGAACGGCAGGAGCCACC
RNAcentral lists this long non-coding RNA (393 nucleotides) under Equus caballus (horse). RNAcentral describes it as "lncRNA (ENSECAG00000043268.2)". Lineage: Eukaryota; Metazoa; Chordata; Mammalia; Perissodactyla; Equidae. The record is from RNAcentral.